GUCUUUUAGAUUAUAAUUUAAAGUCUGGCCUGCCCUAUGAAAAAUUAAAUGGCCGCAGUAUUUUGACUGUGCAAAGGUAGCAUAAUAAUUAGUUUUUUAAUUGAAAGCUGGAAUGAAAGGUCGAACGAAAAAAUAUCUGUCUCAAUUUAAUUUAAUUAGAAUUUUAUUUUUUAGUAAAAAAGCUAAAAUAAUUUUUAAAGACGAGAAGACCCUAUAGAGUUUUAUAUUUUAAUAUUAUAUAUUUUAUAGAAUUAUUUUAUGAUUUUAAAUAUUUUAUUGGGGUGAUAAAUAAAUUUAAAUAACUUUAUUAAUUUCUUACAUUAAUAUAUGAUUAAUUGAUCCAUAAAAAUGAUUAAAGAUUAAAUUACCUUAGGGAUAACAGCGUUAUUUUUUUUUAGAGUUCUUAUCGAAAAAAAAGAUUGCGACCUCGAUGUUGGAUUAAAAUUUAUUUAUGGUGUAGAAGCUAUAAUAUUAGGUCUGUUCGACCUUUAAAAUUUUACAUGAUCUGAGUUUAAACCGGUGUGAGCCAGGUUGGUUUCUAUCUUAAAAUAAGUAAAAUAUUUUAGUACGAAAGGACCAAAUAUUUAUAAAAUUUAUUAAAUUUUGAAUAC
RNAcentral lists this ribosomal RNA (611 nucleotides) under Limnebius montanus. Its description in RNAcentral is "partial 16S ribosomal RNA". It matches the Rfam family "Bacterial large subunit ribosomal RNA", at positions 1830 to 2778 of the family's 2925-position model. Lineage: Eukaryota; Metazoa; Arthropoda; Insecta; Coleoptera; Hydraenidae. The record is from RNAcentral.